This 2571-nucleotide long non-coding RNA is filed under the name Homo sapiens (human). Its description in RNAcentral is "HSALNT0372716". Lineage: Eukaryota; Metazoa; Chordata; Mammalia; Primates; Hominidae. The record is from RNAcentral.
GUUUUCUUCUGCAGAUGGGAUUUUCCAAAAGGAGCAGAAAGUCAGUAGGAGAAAAGUUGGAGCUGUACAUCCUCAAUGAGUUGCUACUUCUGUUAUACACAGAAAAUUAAAAGUUGAAUGAAACCCGCAACUAAGAAAUACCAAGUUCAACUAAAUUAAUAAAAUGUGUGCUGUGGGCUGAAGAUGUAUAUUCUGGCAUUCCUCCUUUCCUCGAAUGUCCUGCCAAGGCAUUUCUGCCUGAAUACACUGAGACCAAGGAUGGCAUAUUAGAAAAAAAUUUCUUUUCCAAGCUAGAUGAAUCACUGCUUCUUCUCUGAAUUUCAGCUCUCCGUGACUAUGGUGGAGAAGCUGUUGACAAAGUGUUGUAUGCAGGGGCCACCUUUGACUCUCUUAUCCUUUUCUUUAUCUCCACCUUAUACUCAUCUAUAGUUCUAUGAACUCUAUCUUCCUCUCCCUAUUGUUGGAAAUUCUGAUUCUGAAUACUAAACCAGAAUUAGACGUGGAAGUCUGGUAAAGAUUAUUACCUUUAUUAUUGCUAAAACUGGGUUGGAAAAUGAAGCCUGAAUUGAUGGUCAAAAUGAGGCUUCCCACUGCUUUACCCAGGUUUGAAUCUCAGGAUUCAUCUGGGGAAACCAUGGUACAGCCUACACUAUGUAGCAGACAGCACAGGGAACAGAAACUCAACUUACACACCUGAGGAGAAAUCCUGAAAACAGGGAUCUCUAAGUAGACAUGGGCCUGCUGACUUGCCUCUGAAAGGCAGUCCCUGGACUCUGACACGGGUUUGUUAGUGUGUGAUGGACUCCAGUGGAGAAGGGCAAUGACCCCUCCUUCAUGCGGGUCUGUUCUCAAAGGCAACUAGAGGCAAAGCCUGCACAGUGGAGCCGUUUCCUUUCCCCUGUGCUGUCCAUUGGGUCAAUCAGUUCUCCUCCUGGGAGCAGAGUGAGCAGGUGGGUUGGUGAAGUGGUGGAGAGGAGGUCUGAAGCCACCUUCCAUACUUUUUUGGUGGUGUUUGUAUUUUAUGUGUUGUUGAUGGGAAAUGUGGAGAGAAGGAAAAAGAAGUGCUUUUCCAUGUUAUUCUCCUCAAUCAUCAGCUUAAUCAGGCCUUCGAGAUAUCUACAUUGAAUUGAUGACUGUCUGACUGCACUUAAAAUCCAUUGGAAUAAAUGUUCUCUUAAAAAAAAGAUUAUGUCACCCCCUCAGUUAAAAUUUCCCUAUUGGUUUUCCAUAGUUGUUUGGAUGUAAUCCAAAAUCCAUGCUGUCUUGCCAUGGCAUUCUAGCCUUUUUAUACCCAAGUCCAUGAUCAACUACUCAGUCUGAUUUGUCAUUACACUCGCUGUCAACUUUUGCUCCAGGCUUAUCGAACUCCUUGCAGUUUUCCAAGCAUGUAUGUCUUUGCCUACCCCGUUGCCUUCAUUUUUGCUGCUCCCUUCCCGGGAAAUACAUUCUCUUGCUUUCUUUAUCUGGAUAGAUUUCACUGAGCCUUCAGAACUCAGCUUAGGCAUAAUUAGCUCCUAUUGGACACCUUCACUGAAUUAUUGAGGUGUGCCACCUCAAGUGAGGUGAGGUUUCUUCCAAUGUUCCUUAUAGUAUUUCCUGCUUGCCUACUGUGAUAGGGUCUUCUUAUCUGCAUAUUCAUAUUGAAUGUAGUCCCUAGCAUAUAAUAAACCAUUGAUAACUAUUGCCAGCAUCUCUCACAUUGCUUCCUUCCUUAAACAGAGCCAUAGUUUCAAUAUUUGUUUUGCUCUCAAAUGUGGAUUACAAUAACAAUUGCCUAGAUUUGUAUAGAAAUAGGCUUACCAGUUGUUUAUUAAAAUCUUGAUAGCUUUGCGGAUAUUGGAAGAAUGUUUUUCUCACUAAAUAAUAUUUUUGUUUUUCUGUUAUCAUUCCUUCAAAAUAUAAAUAAGAUGAUUUUAAUAAACUUUUUCUAGUGUUUAUAGUGAUCAAAUUGUAAUAAAAAUUACUGUACAUCAUUAUUCAAAUUCUCAGAUAUUCAUUUUUAACAACUUAUAAACCUUCAUGAAGAGAGAUUUUUACUCUGACCCAAGUGGUCUGGAUGGUGUAAUUGUGAAAUGGAUUUCUUACAAAUUUAGUGACAUGCUGCAUCAAGCAGUAAAAAUGACGGAUGGAUCAUAUGGGAAACAGAAAAUAUGUUAUGUCAUCCUGUUCUGAAAGGCAUCCCGAAACCUUAUCAAAUAGAUGUUCAAUAUUUUACACAAAAGAAAAGUUGCAUGCCCCAUGAGAGUUAAAGAGUUGAGAGCUAAUUUGUUACGUACAGGUUGAAGUAGAAAGUGACUGCAUGGUUAGCCUUUUAACCUAUCUUUAAAUCCACUGGGAAGAAAAGCCAAAAUGAUUUUGGGGAUAAAUUGACUUCUUGUUUAUCUUUGUGCUCGAAUUUGUCCAAUCAAGUAAAAAUAUUUGCAUGGUGUGCAUUGUGAUAUGAUUAUCUGGGGACUGAAAAAUGUGGUAUGAAUUAUAAAGAUUGGAUCUCGAAUUCUUAAUAAAACCUUUACUGUUUCACAGUUUUUUCCUAACUUACAAAAAGCUUUUAUAUUUGUAAGAAGACAGUUU